Molecule: long non-coding RNA, 362 nt
Organism: Cyprinus carpio carpio
Lineage: Eukaryota; Metazoa; Chordata; Actinopteri; Cypriniformes; Cyprinidae
Source: Ensembl
GGGGCAGUGGAGGUGUGUGAGCUUUAUUAACGUAGAGACAAAACGUUGUGCGUUUUGGGGGACACUUAUUUUAUAAUUCCACAUCAGACAGUCCUGAAACGAUGCAGCUGACACUGUGGGAAGGUGUACUCUCAAUCUGAGGUGAAAGUGGUCUGUGCAAUCAGUAACUUUUAUUUUGAUAGAUUUUUGAAAGUAGAGAUGCAGCAGAUUAUUUAUGAGAUUUGGGAGGCUAUUAUUUUGUAAUUCCACAUCAGACAGUCCUGAAACGACGCAGUUGACACUGUGGAAAGGUGUACUCUCAAUCUGAGGUGAAAGUGGUCUGUGCAAUCUAGAACUUUUAUUUUUAUUUGUUUUUAAAUAUA